CCACUGGAGGAGAUAGGUGGACGGAACGGGUGAGUAACGACGGUACGGGUAACCUCGACCCAUAAGGGAGGGGGAUAACACGUACCGGAAACGGUGCUAAUACCGCAUAGUUUUCUUGAUCGCAUGAUCGGGAAAGGAAAGACGGCCUUUGUGCUGUCGCUUAUGGAUGGACCCGCGGCGUAUUAGUUAGUUGGUGAGGUAACGGCUCACCAAGACGAUGAUACGUAGCCGACCUGAGAGGGUGAUCGGCCACAUUGGGACUGAGACACGGCCCAAACUCCUACGGGAGGCAGCAGUAGGGAAUCUUCCGCAAUGGACGAAAGUCUGACGGAGCAACGCCGCGUGAGUGAAAGAAGGUUUUCGGAUCGUAAAACUCUGUUGUCAGAGAAGAACAAGUUGGAGAGUAACUGCUCCAGCCUUGACGGUAUCUGACCAGAAAGCCACGGCUAACUACGUGCCAGCCGCGGC
Molecule: ribosomal RNA, 468 nt
Filed under: uncultured bacterium
Lineage: Bacteria
Description: bacterial SSU rRNA
Rfam family: Bacterial small subunit ribosomal RNA
Source: RNAcentral